UGCCACCUGCUGACAGGGAGAAUGGAGGAGGCCAAGGUCAAGCCCAGGGGCAGCCUGCCUUGGUCCUAAGUGUGAGCGGCUGGUGGAGAUGAGCCAGGAGGAGGCAGAAGCUGGAGUUUUACAGCUUCAGAUCUGGGUAUUUAUCCAAAAGACUUGAAACUGGGGUCCUGAGGAGAUACAAACACUUCUCAGUUCAUUAAAGCACUAUUCAC
RNAcentral lists this long non-coding RNA (212 nucleotides) under Homo sapiens (human). RNAcentral's name for it is "HSALNT0049162". The record is from RNAcentral. Lineage: Eukaryota; Metazoa; Chordata; Mammalia; Primates; Hominidae.